UCCGACUUCACGUCGGCAGUCUUGUUAGAGUGCCCGGCCGAAACCGCUGGCAACUAACAACGAGGGUUGCGCUCGUUGCGGGACUUAACCCAACAUCUCACGACACGAGCUGACGACAGCCAUGCAGCACCUUCUCACUCGCUCCUUACGGCACCCCGGCAUCUCUGCCAGGUUCGAGCGGAUUUAACCCAGGUAAGGUUCUUCGCGUUGCGUCGAAUUAAACCACAUGCUCCACUGCUUGUGCGGGCCCCCGUCAAUUCCUUUGAGUUUCAGCCUUGCGGCCGUACUCCCCAGGCGGGGCACUUAAUGCGUUAGCGCCGGCACUCAGAGGGUCGCUCCCCCAAGCACCUAGUGCCCAUCGUUUACGGCGUGGACUAC
This 378-nucleotide unclassified non-coding RNA is filed under the name uncultured bacterium. Its description in RNAcentral is "contains 16S-23S intergenic spacer region". The record is from RNAcentral.